Molecule: unclassified non-coding RNA, 238 nt
Filed under: soil metagenome
Description: partial internal transcribed spacer 1
Source: RNAcentral
AAAAGUUAACUCAUCGAUUUGGGUUUUCUUAACUCAUAUCAACCUUGUGUGCACCUAAACUUGUAACUGGCGAAAGCUAAGCUCUGAGGUUAGGGUGGGUCUAAGUUUUUGAUUAGUAGAGGUCGUCAGAUCUCGAAAGUUAGGCUAAGAUCUGACCUAAGCUCUGAGGUUACUUCGCCAACAGUUAAACCUUAGAAAUUUUGUUAGUAACUUAAGUUAAUAAAACUUAAAUAAGUAA